Molecule: ribosomal RNA, 487 nt
Filed under: uncultured bacterium
Lineage: Bacteria
Description: bacterial SSU rRNA
Rfam family: Bacterial small subunit ribosomal RNA
Source: RNAcentral
AAUUGAACGCUGGCGGCAUGCCUUACACAUGCAAGUCGAACGGCAGCACGGGUGCUUGCACCUGGUGGCGAGUGGCGAACGGGUGAGUAAUACAUCGGAACGUACCUUAUCGUGGGGGAUAACGCAUCGAAAGCUGUGCUAAUACCGCAUACGCCCUGAGGGGGAAAGCGGGGGAUCGCAGGACCUCGCGCGAUUGGAGCGGCCGAUGUCAAAUUAGGUAGUUGGUGAGGUAAAGGCUCACCAAGCCGACGAUCUGUACCUGGUCUGAGAGGACGACCAGCCACACUGGGACUGAGACACGGCCCAAACUCCUACGGGAGGCAGCAGUGGGGAAUUUUGGACAAUGGGCGCAAGCCUGAUCCAGCCAUUCCGCGUGCAGGACGAAGGCCUUCGGGUUGUAAACUGCUUUUGUACGGAGCGAAAAGCCUUGAGUUAAUACCUCGAGGUCAUGACGGUACCGUAAGAAUAAGCACCGGCUAACUACGUG